Triticum aestivum (bread wheat) is the source of this 3435-nucleotide long non-coding RNA. RefSeq lists it as uncharacterized. The record is from RefSeq and is a predicted model, not a curated record. The transcript has 3 exons. NCBI's taxonomy places the organism in Eukaryota, Viridiplantae, Streptophyta, Magnoliopsida, Poales, Poaceae.
UAAUUCAUCAGGGACUUUUUUACAAGAGCGCCACGACGGUGAAUUCGGAAACUCAAUCCGUGCUUUAUCUCUCCCUAUAUAUAUAUAUCUCCCUAAUAAUAAAGCACGGAUUGACUUCAUGGGUUCACCGUCACAAUACGUUUUCUUUUCAUGUCAUAAUACGCUUUUACAAAAUCGUAAUAUAAAUAAGAUGGUACUAACUUGGGGUACGCACUAAAGAUUUUUGUCAAAAUUCCUUAUUAGAACGUUCUUUCGCUCACGGGCUUGGUCGCUUGGGCCUGGGUAAAAAGGAAAAUAGACGAGCAAGCAAUCCUUCAACGCACGGGCGAGCAGUUGACUAAAAAAAGAGAAGCACAGGAGCACGACCUCAGCGCACAAGAUAAGAAGGUGAGCGCUCUGCGUGGCAGAGUCGCUCCCGUGUCGGGGCGCCGGCAGGAGGCCCCACGGCGGCGGUGAGCCGCGGAGGAGAAGAAGGAGCGCCAGGGAGGGGGACGCUCCCGUGCUCCCAUUCUCCCCCCGUCUCGCUCUGCCAAGGAAGGAAGGGCAUGGCCCUGCGAGCGGACGCAACGAGGCUCGCGUCCUCCAGCCUCCGCCGCCGCCACGGCCACCUCCUGCCGGCAGCCGCCACCAGCUUCAGUACACCCCUCUUCCUCGUCGCCCCCUCUCUCGUGGCUUGCUUGCCGCUCACCGUCCGUGUCAUUCCUCGUCAGGAUUCAAGCAGGUGCGCGAGGACGAGAAGAGCAAGCUGGUUGGAAACGGAGAAGAUGUUCAGGCGCGGCGCGGCGGGCGGAGCAGCAGAGGUUCAGGGGAGGUGCCAGCGGAGCAGGAGAGGUUCAUGGGUGGUGGAGCAGGAGAGGUUCAUCGCCGGUGCCCUUGUCGCCGAACGGCCAUCCUUGCUGCGCUUGAUGGAGGACAGAACGGGAAACAUUUUCUGGUGGGUACGCCGGCCACGGGCGCGCUUCGCUGUGACCUGUCCGCCGCCGCCAAUCCUCUCUGGCCUCCUCCGUAUCCUUAUCAAUCUCGGACGAGCUAUUCCCGUGUCGUGAUUUGGAUGGACAAUAGGAAGCCGUGUCCUUCUCGAACACCAAGCAAUGGAGUGCCCGACCCGGAUUUGAGUCGUUUGCUAUAAGAAGGAGCGGUCCUCGGCCAAAAUCUCCAUCAGAUUGCGUCCUUGGACCAUAAGCUCCAUCAAAGCCCGUCCAAAUUGCUUUUUUGGACGCAACGUGCAAUGUCGCCGUCGAGUUCGCCGGAGGAGGAAGUGCCGAGUUCGCCGGAGGAACAAGACCAUCUGUCCAACUGUCCAAUUUCGCAUGCCUCGGCUACACCAGAGGUAAUGUAUCGCCUUCAUAUUCACUGGAUGAAAUCCCCUGUUUGUCCCCUGUCUCUUGUCUCCGAUUCUGUUCUGUAGCCAGACUGAAAUAAGGGACACUACUUAAUUUAUAAAGCAUGAGAAAACUGAUGGAGGAUGGUUAGUACACCAGCAAAUUUUUGUAAGCUCAAGUUUGUAGACUGAUUUAGUAGUCUCUGUGAUUGCUACAUGCAAGUCAGUUUAGAGUUUCUGAGGGGAACGGCCUGGACCAUCUUUUCUUGUGAUCUGAAUUAUGAUGUACUAGGACAUAGCCACAAGGGUUAUUUCUUGUGUUGGCAAGUAAUCUUAAGACUUUUUUCCCCGGGUGAUUCGUAAGACAGAUUACCCUAUACAAUUCACAGUUUUAGUAUCUCUUAUGCACCUAAAUAUAUUUUAACUGGAAAAAAAUUCAGGUUCCCGCAGGUUUUGACUUGACUAACAAAUUUAAGUGAAUUUGUUAUUCCUUUUUGUGCUCUUCUUUUUAUUACUCAAAUAAAUCUGUAAUUUAGCCAGGCUAACAUCAAUGGGCUGCAGGCCAUAACUAUGCUAGCUUUAUAUUGCUGAAUGUAGGAGCUUAUUUUUUUCUUUUUAGUUAUUCACUGAUAUUGGGCAGGGCAUCUGAAUGAACCAAUUCGUGUUGAAAACAGAAACAUGUCUGUUUCAUGCACCUAUUUUCAGUUGACAAUAUACUAAAUAAUUGCACAGUGAAAAACUACAGAAAACGCUCUUAAGAUGCGAUAGUUUUGAACCUGAAUUUAUAAACGAUCUUAGGCAUCAAGUCCAGCAAGUUUGAGAUGUUCACUGAAACAUGUCGGUUUCAGGCAGCUAUAAUUCAGAAUUCUUUGCCAAACUGUAACGUUUCAGCCAUUCAGAAACAUUGCCCGUGAUGUUAAUAUGUUGACUAGGGGCCUUUUGUAGAAACUAAAGUGUGGCAUCUCUUUUGAUGGUUCAAUAGAAUUAAGUGUCUGGAGUCACUUCAUAUUCAGAAUUGCCCUGCCAUCCAUGCAAUAAAUAAAAAAGUGAUUUGGUCUGGUUUUCAUGUCUCUUCUGUGUAUGCGCGUGCAGGUGGCAAAGGCGUCCAAUCCAACUCAGGUGGAGGCCAAGGAGGUUCGGCUCUCGGACCUUGCACCAAUGAUGCUGGAUGAUACCGACGUGGAGACUGUUGAUGUCGAGAUAGAUUUUGAACUGACAUCAAUCGACAUCGCCGUUCCUUUCGAUCCUUCUUGACUUUUGGACGUGGAGAAGCACUGCCGGGAAGCGGGUGCAUUAGUUCAUGGCGGCAUACGGCCAUUAGGACUUAUUGUCCUAACCUCUGACAACAUGGAGGAGCACACUGCUGUUCACUUCUGGGUUACAAGUCAGAGCAGAACUACAUGAUACUCAUGUGCUCUGAUCUAAGAAGUUCUUCAUUGAGACCAGGACUAUACACAGCAGCCAAUGAAGGCUUCUUUGAAUUUGAUCUUGAAAAGGAAAAGAAGAUAUCUCUAAGAACUCUGGUGAGUUUGGGAAGCUAUUUCAUUUCUCGUGUUGUUCACUUCAUGCACUUUGUGUCAGAAUUGGACAUGAAUGAUGCGCCAUGAAGAUUGAUCCAUCAGCGGUGGAGAGCUUCGACAGUGGCAGGGUCUGCAUCAUGGCCAGAGCUUCUACCGUAGCGGUUGUCGACAGCGGGGCCCACAUGUAUGCCUUCAACAACGGCAGUACCACGGUCAGAGCACAUAAACAGGGGAAAAAUAACUGCUCAUUUCCUUGACCUCUAGGAUUCAUAUAUUAUAGUUUACUAUCAGCGUUAGUAGGGAAUUGUCAACGUUACCUCCCUGCCAAGUAUUGCAUAUUUAGUACGUGCAAGUCUGCUAAGGGGCCUCGAGUUAUGCUUACUUAUGAUGUUAAGUCUCUUUUUCUUCCGUUGCAACGCACGGGCCUUUUUGCUAGUUAUUAUUAGGGAGAGAUUUCUCCCGGAUUAAUCGAUUUUUUUUUGCAUCGUUUCCUGGCAAGGGCUACUGAGAGGUGUUGUAAUUGUGCACUGCAAGAGUUUGAUGAUAUGUCUAAAAUAAAGAUAUGGUGCAGCCUUGGAGCAGUCGUGCUCUAUU